Molecule: ribosomal RNA, 253 nt
Filed under: uncultured bacterium
Lineage: Bacteria
Description: partial 16S ribosomal RNA
Rfam family: Bacterial small subunit ribosomal RNA
Source: RNAcentral
UACGGAGGGUGCGAGCGUUGUCCGGAAUCACUGGGCGUAAAGGGCGCGUAGGCGGCCUGAUAAGUAGGGGGUGAAAUCCUGCGGCUUAACCGCAGGGCUGCCUUCUAAACUGUCAGGCUCGAGCACAGUAGAGGCAGGUGGAAUUCCCGGUGUAGCGGUGGAAUGUGUAGAGAUCGGGAAGAACAUCAGUGGCGAAGGCGGCCUGCUGGGCUGUUGCUGACGCUGAGGCGCGACAGCGUGGGGAGCAAACAGG